RNAcentral lists this ribosomal RNA (503 nucleotides) under uncultured bacterium. RNAcentral describes it as "partial 16S ribosomal RNA". It matches the Rfam family "Bacterial small subunit ribosomal RNA", at positions 28 to 523 of the family's 1533-position model. The record is from RNAcentral.
GAUGAACGCUAGCGAUAGGCCUAACACAUGCAAGUCGAGGGGCAGCAUAGAGUAGCAAUACUUUGAUGGCGACCGGCGCACGGGUGAGUAACACGUAUGCAACCUACCUACAUCAGGGGAAUAACCAGGAGAAGUUCGGACUAAUACCGCAUAAUACAGGGCUGCCGCAGGGCAAUAUUCGUUAAAGAUUUAUCGGAUGUAGAGGGGCAUGCGUUCCAUUAGCUUGUUGGUGAGGUAACGGCUCACCAAGGCAACGAUGGAUAGGGGAACUGAGAGGUUUGUCCCCCACACUGGAACUGAGACACGGACCAGACUCCUACGGGAGGCAGCAGUGAGGAAUAUUGGUCAAUGGACGAGAGUCUGAACCAGCCAAAUCGCGCGAAGGAAGACUGCCCUACGGGUUGUAAACUUCUUUUGUACAGGAAUAAAAGACAUUACGUGCAAUGUAUUGCAUGUACUGUACGAAUAAGCAUCGGCUAACUCCGUGCCAGCCGCCGCGGUAA